GGUGCUAUAGUGUAGUGGUUAUCACUCAGGAUUUUGAUAAGGAUGACCUCUUUCUCUUCCUGGAACCCAGGUUCGAACCCUGGUAGCACCU
This is a non-coding RNA of Mycena floridula, 91 nucleotides long. NCBI's taxonomy places the organism in Eukaryota, Fungi, Basidiomycota, Agaricomycetes, Agaricales, Mycenaceae. The record is from the annotation of a GenBank genome assembly.